AUUAAUAUGUCCGAACCAGUCCCCACACCUAUCUCUCAUCUCUCCAAACAACUUCAUCUUCUGCGUAGCCCUAGCGCCGCCGCCUCCAUAUCCUCAACUCCUCCGGUGGCGACGCCGGUGUCAAAUCGCCUCUAGACAAACACCCUAACACCACCUUACUUUCUACAUCCUCAAUCCAUAGCCAAAAGAGUUCGAACACACCUGGAACCCUUCGAAUCUUCGUGGGAGUCCAUGAACCCUAGCUGCCGACGUUGAGUUCCAGUGGCGCCGCCGCCUUUUUUCUAACUCAAAUGGACACCAAAUAACAGUCUUACUUCAUUCCUGGUAAAUUCCAUGCCAGAAACUUCAUGAAUCUCAGUACAGCAUUGGGAAUCCUUUGGAUUAAGAGUUCAUUCGGGCCGGUCUUUUGAAAACUUUUCAAGGUCGAGUGCUUCCCAUCGUAAGUGUUCUGUGCUCUACGAUUCUAUUAGUUAAAUUCCUCUUUCGUUUCUUUUUCAAUUAGUGAUUUCUCUUUGCAUUCUGAGUUUUGUUCAGUUCGAUUCAUGUGUAGUUUAAUUAGUAGUCUAAUUUUCAAUAGAGUUGCUUCUUGUUAUUGUUAGCUGAUUCUGAGGCAACGUUUUUUCUUCUUAAUUAGAGGUCAAUUGUUAGUUAACGGUUAAAGUGUUAGCUUAGUUUCGAUUAGUUCGAUUUGAUUAGUUUGGUCGAAUGUACUCCUUGAAUCUGACUUUUGCUUUGAUCUUAUUUCCAGCUCGUUUUAGAAAUGUUUUGAUUCUCGUCUAUUUGAAUUAAUGAUUCUGAUAGUCUAUGUUUAGUGUAAUUGAUUUUUAGUUUUCAUUUUCAAAUUAGGAUUCUUCAGGUUUUUAAUAAUUAAUGUCGCAUAUUAAGUCAGUAAUUUAGUAGUAAUUCAGUAAUUAGCAUUUGUUUUCUGAAUUCAACAUUUGAUCAAGUAGUUAGUAGAUAAUGUUAGCCAAUCUGAUUACAACUGGGUAAAUUAGACCUUCAAUUAGUCAGGGGAGUCUUCAGGGGUACUUUGGGUACUUGAAAUGGUUAGUUUGUUAGGCUAGGUAAUUCAAAAGGAAGCAAAAGGGCAUUUUAGACAUUCAUGAUUUAGGUAUCAAUACUAGAAUUGCUUGGAACCUUCUAGAAAGGGGUGUACUUAGAUUAUGAAGUAAGUCUGAAGUACUUCCUUGGAGAAUAAGUUAGAAAUAAAGGGGGUAAAGCUGAAAAAGGGAGGGACUAAUAUGAAAAGUGCAAAAUUGAGGGUUGACCUCCCUUAGGCCUAUAAAAAGGCAUCAAAAUGCCUUGAAGAGCAAGUUUGGCAGCCUAAACAUUCCCCCAAAAAAUACUUCCCAAGCUUCCAUAUCUGAAAUUAAAAAUUUUAGAUAUGAAAUUCCCUUAGAUCUUAGUCUCUUCAAAUACAAAAUCCAAAAAAAAAACAUCAUAAAAGAGAAAGAAUCAGAAACAACGUUAAUGUUUGAUUGCCUAUUUCAAUUUUAUACUUGGGUAUCCUUGAUUGCUGAUCAAAACUUAUUCUAUCAAAAGCAUCCUGAGGUAUUUUAAUGGUCUGUCCAAUGAAACUGGAUUUGUUCAGUUGGAUUUUAGCUAAACUUAUGUUCCAGUGAGAUUUCAGAAUCGUCUAAGCUCAAUUAUAAGAGUUUUGAGUGCAUUUCGAAGUGUGAUGACUUGAUUCGCUGGAGUCCUCUUGAUUAGUGAAUGUUUAUGGUUUCCAAAAUCCUUUCCUAGACUGCUCUGUGAUAUUAUAUUGCUGAAUCUUAGGGUUGAUGUUGCUGUGCAACAUAGCUAACGUUUCUUCUUCUUCUACUUUAUAUCUCUAGGUACACGCUUGAGACUGGUCCGAUGUAGCUAUUAAGUUGAAAGGCUGAAUUAAACUGUUUUCCCUGGAAUCUAUGUGUUCAAGGUGUUUUAGUGUAAUAAUAGUAGAUGAUUUGCAUUUGUUUAGGUUCAUUUUGAUUUGUAUUUACAUUAUAUAAACUAGACGAACAUUGAACUAUUUGAGAUUCAAAUUGAUGACUACUCUUUAACGUUAACUUUAAUUCAAUUGAUUCUACUUGAAGACUAUUUAGGCAUUAAAUUUGACUUAGAGAUCAUAAUAGGCAAUCUGUAACCAAUGUGAAAUCAGUAGAAGCACAAUUCAUGGGACAUAAAUCAGAGUUCAUUUUGAACAAGUUCAUAUGUUUCAUUAUUGAUCACUGAUUAGUUUAUUUGCAGUUACAAAAGAUUAUUAGUUAUUUUGGCUUUAUGCAGUUUCAAAAUCAGUCCUGUCAUUAGUAUCAUAAUAGUCGGCCAAUGCUAAUUAUAUGGUUAAUUUAGAUUUAAAACAACAUAUGUCAUACCGUUUGAGGUGAUAUAAUUGAACCAAAUAACGUAAUCCUUUUCAUUUGGAAAAAUCAACAGUUCACGAUUCUGAUUUGGCACUUUCAAUUUAAGUUCAUAUCACAUGAAUUGUUGAGGUCUGUGGUUCUUUGUGUGUGUUGGGAUUUAUGCCGAAAGGGACAACCGCAAGCCCAAGUGUUUCCCUCUCUAUGGGCUGGCAUCAAGGCCCGUUCGCCAUGCUUGUUCCUGAACGGAUCCCUUUGGCUCAUCAGUUUGGGUUUGAUUUAAAGGUUUUAAUUCAUAAUUCAACUCUUGGGUUUAGUAUACAAUAAAUUUGGUUUCAGGUUAGGUAGCGGGUUCAAGCUAAAAGGUUCGUCCUUUUGUUUGGACCCGGACUUGAACUUGAAACUCGAGUUCUCAUAAUUAUUAAUUAAAAUUUUUGUUUUCUUUAGAGACAAAAACAAAAAUAGAAAAUGUAGUCGCUUUUACGCCUAUCCUUUAAAAUAAAAUGAGACGAGCCUCGCCAAUAAAAUGCAAAAUUACGGGGCCCACAGUAAAGGUUUAAAAUAUUUUAGAAGUCGGGAAGGGAUGUUUAGCGAAUUUCACGGUCCUCCCAAAAGAUAAUAACGCGCUAGAAUCUUUUAGACGCGGCUUUAUUAAAUUACAUUCCUAAAUAUGGGUGGGCAUUUUUAUGCGGCCCAAAUCAAAAUCCUAAAACUUUGAAUAGAGUGUGCCUAAGACUGUGGGUUCAUUUGAUGCGGUGCAAUCCGAAAACACACUUUAAACGACGUUCACUUUCUCGAAUAUAUAUAUAUAUAGUGCAAAAUUGAGGGNNNNNNNNNNNNNNNNNNNNNNNNNNNNNNNNNNNNNNNNNNNNNNNNNNNNNNNNNNNNNNNNNNNNNNNNNNNNNNNNNNNNNNNNNNNNNNNNNNNNNNNNNNNNNNNNNNNNNNNNNNNNNNNNNNNNNNNNNNNNNNNNNNNNNNNNNNNNNNNNNNNNNNNNNNNNNNNNNNNNNNNNNNNNNNNNNNNNNNNNNNNNNNNNNNNNNNNNNNNNNNNNNNNNNNNNNNNNNNNNNNNNNNNNNNNNNNNNNNNNNNNNNNNNNNNNNNNNNNNNNNNNNNNNNNNNNNNNNNNNNNNNNNNNNNNNNNNNNNNNNNNNNNNNNNNNNNNNNNNNNNNNNNNNNNNNNNNNNNNNNNNNNNNNNNNNNNNNNNNNNNNNNNNNNNNNNNNNNNNNNNNNNNNNNNNNNNNNNNNNNNNUACAAAAAUGUUGGAGGUUGAAAACUUCUUGUAAAAAGUAAAAUUGGCACAUAGGUUCUUCAUGUAAUAAAAUUAGAUAAUAGCUAAAUGCAACAGUUGAGCGACCGUGCUAGAACCAUAGAACCCGAGAAUGCCUAACACUUCUCCUGGAUUAACAUAAUUCCUUAUCCGAAUUUUUGGUUCGCAAACUAUGAACAGUCAUCUUUUUCCUCGGUUCGGGAUUCAACCGGUGACUUGGGACACCAUUUAUCUCCCAAGUGGCGACUCUGAAUCCUAAUAAACGAAUCCCGUUCCGAUUGUCCUUUAAGUGUAAAAACUCCUUUACGCCCCUUUGCGGGGUGUAUAGUGAAAACGCAGGUGUGACAGCUCUAGCGACUCUGAUGGGGAAAAGAACCUAGAACGUUUUGUUCAUGGUUCAGGAUUUAAGCUUAGAAUAAUUGUGGUGUUUGGCUUUAUCUGAUUUUGUUACAUGAUAUAUGCCUAAUGUGCUAAUUGACUGCUUUUGCCGCUUUGAUAUUAUGUGAACUGUAUAUGAACUGUGCUGAAACCCAUCUCCUCUAUGAGUCUUCUGAAUCAUGAAGAAGGGUGUACGUCGUAUGACUUCUUUUCUGUAUAGUGUCAAAUCCCAAUUUAGAGCUAGGUUUGGAUAAGUCGCAAAGCCGUGAAGCUUCUGUAUUCCCAGAUUGCCUCCUCCUCCUCAGCUCGAGCGGUCCGCUUGGGUAAGCCAGGUUUAGAACAAACACCCAGGUUUUGAAGCUAGAAUAACUUAACCUCAUGCCAGUUCCCUAGUAGGAACGCUUAUUUGCAUCAUGUGUAUUUUGACUUACGGGAGUCAAUAUAGGGGUUGGGUCCGUCUAGGGCUAGCAACCUGAAAUGAAAAGACCAUUCUAAUGCAUCCUUCUUGUUUUCUGUGCAUUUAUUUGCUCGGGCUUGCAUGUUGGCUGGCUUUUAGAUCUCAGGAUUGUUAGAAAAUUAAAAAAAAACAAGGAGAAAAGAGAAAAAUAGCAGUUGGAGAGUUAAUUGAUUGUUUUAGAAAAUCCGAUAUCCAAGUACUGUCGGAACUCUGCCGAAAUUUUGAGAAAAUAUAAAAAUGUUUUAUUUAAUAUUUGUUUUUUUCAAAAAGAGUCCGUCAUGUUUUAGUUUGUCUUGUUUGCAAAAUGAAAAAUGAAAAAUAGUUUGUUUUGUCAUGAGAAAAGAAAAAAAAGUCUUGAGUUUUGUUUUUCUUGUUUCAAAAUAGUUAUUUUCCAAUGAAAAAGAAGGUGUUUUAUUGAAAAAGAAAAAAAGAAUCGUAUUUUUAGUUCGAAAAAUAGGUUGUGUUACUAAAAAAUGAAAAAGAAGAAGUCUUUAUUCGGGAAAGAUAGGUUGUUUGUUGAAAAUGAAAAGAAAAAAAAUUAUUAUUUUGUCUUGCUUUUAAAAAUAGAAAAGGAAAUAUAGUUUUUUUGCCAUGAAAAAUGAGAAAGGAAAAAGAGUCUUUUAUUUUAGUCUUGUUUUCAAAAAUGAAAAAGAGAAAAAUAGUUUGUUCUGCCAUAGAUAAUGAAAAAAAAAAGAAAAAAAGUCUUUUAUUUUAGGCUAUUUAUUGUUUGUUGAAAAAGAAAAUGAAAAAAAGUCUUGUUUUUAAAAGUAUUUUUUUAUUUUAUUAUGAAAUGCCAAAAAUAAAAAUGAAAAAGAGUCAUGUUUUAAAAUAGUUCGGUUAAUUUGCCCGAACUACGCAUGGUUUGAUUCUCAAAGGGCGUGAGAUACGUAGGCAACCCUCAUCGGGUCCAACCUCCCCUUUACAAAAAUAACCCAAAAAUUUUAAAAUUUUAAUUUUUGUCAUAAUUAAACCAGGUGAUGGAGGUUUUGUCAAAAAUAGCCAAAUAUUCCCAAACGGGGUGCCGGAAGGCUGGCUUUGCACAAAUUUCCACCUUUGGUCAUAUUUUGAUUUUUGACCUUCACAACCUAAAACUUUUCGCCCCCCGAGGCGCUGGAAGGCCGUGUUUGCAAUACCAGGUCAUUUAUUUUAAUUUGAAAAACAAGAAAAAGAGUCAGUGAUCAAGUGAAUACCGUUCGCAUUUUGAGUUAAAAUUAGCAUAUAGGGAAGGAAUCUAUCAUUUUGUUUUUUGAUUUUGUAUUUCUUUUAAUUAGAGUAUAUGGGUCAUUUGAUUUUUGAGUCUGUAUUUCAUCGUUAAGUCAGUCAGUUUUGUUGUUAUUGUGAAAUUGGAAAAUCUCAAAAAAUAUUUUACUGUCAUUUACCUUUUAUUUGUACGAACUACGUACGAUGUGAUUCAUGCGGGGUCAUGAUACGUAGGCAGUCCACAUAGGAUUCGACCAUAACAAAAAAAAAGGAAAAGAAAAAAGCGAAAAAGCAAGAAAAAGAGAGAAAAGAAAAUAGGGGAAAAACAAGAAAGAAAAUGACAGAAAAGGAUAAGGGAUAAGAGAGGAAAGGAAAAGAAAUAAGGGAAAAAAGAAACCCAAAAAGGGACAAUAGCAAAACAAGACGGAAUAAGAACAAAAGAAGGCAAAGGAAAGAACAAAAAACAAAAAGAGAAGAAAAGAAAAGAAAGAAAUUGUGCAAUCAGAAAUAAGGAAAAAGCCAAGAUGACGCAAGCAGUUGAGCAAAUGCAUAUAGAAUCCGUUAAACUGUUUAGGUGCAUUCAUUCCCCAACGUGAGGUUAUCAAAUCUGCUCAUGCCCUAUCCAUUGACCAAGCUGUUAUUGAUGUUGAGUUCAGGCAGAUGGUUAGUUGUUGGGCAUUCUAGCAACCCAUUCCUACAACACCCAAUCAGAAAACAAGCUGAAAAUGACAGGGCAUGAAUCUGAUACCAGUAUUAUGGACCUGGUAAAAGAGGGAGAGUGAUUGAUGUUAAUGCGAAGAGGGAAGAAAUGCAUAAGUUUAGGAAGAAAAUGGCUUAAAUGCAUCGGGAUUGGUAUAGGGGUCAGUCGCCGCCAGUUUAUCACGCCAAUCUAAACUACGUCCCACCUUUGGCUCAGUUUCAGGAGCCUCAUACUGUGAACUGCUGUUGAUGUUGAGUCGAGACAGGUGGUUAGUUGAUUGGCAACUCUAGAAACUCACCCGUAAACAUCCAGUCGAACGAUAAGAUGACAGGACAAGAAUCUGACUCCAGUAUUGUGGACCCUACAAAAAGGGUCGAGGUGAAUGAUGUGGGUGCCAUGAAUGAAGAGAUGAGGAAGUUGAAAGCACAGAUGGCUGAAAUUUGCCAAGUUUGAUCUUAGGUCACCGGACACCUUUGUAUCCCGCCAACCCGUCCUAUAUCCCACCUCUACUUCAUACUCAGGAGCCUUCUACUCCUACAUCUCCAUCCUUCACAUAUCACACCCAGGGCUAUGCUACCACUUCAUACGUUCCUCCAGCUCCACCACCCAAACAGAACCUUCCACCACCUUUGGCUCCAAUCUUUGUGGCACCUCCUCCAGCCACAUUGCAAAGAUCAUUUAGUGAGCCACUGUUCCAAGCUCACGAUGCUCAAUAUUACCCUUAUGAACCCACUUUUAAAUCUCCUUAGCCGUACACCUAUACCCCUCAUUUUGAGAUCCCGGAAGAAGUUGAGAAACCAGCUAAGAAUGCAGAACAAGAGGAAGUAAUUCGUAAAUUCAAAAGCCUGGAAUUCAGGAACGUGCAUGGUUUAGACAGCCAGGUCAACGUGGCAUACAAAGACCUAUGUCCAUUUCUCGACGUUCAGUUGCUUGUGGGGUUUAAAAUGCCAAAGUUUGACUUGUAUGAGGGGCACGGUGACCCAGUAGCCCAUCUGCGUGGUUUGUUUAGUAAGAUGAGAGGUGCUGGGGGGAAGGAUGAAUUGUUGAUAGCCUAUUUCGGUCAAAGCUUGAGCGGGUCUGCGCUAGAAUGGUACACGAGACAUGGUCCUGGUAGAUGGUAUACAUGGGAUGACUUGGCACAAGCAUUUAUCGACCACUUUCAGCAUAACCGUGAGAUAGUCGCCGACCGUCUGUCAUUGUUGAAACUUGAGAAAAAAGCCAAGGGAGAGUUUUAGAGAGUUGGGUUUCCGCUGGAUGGAGAAGGCAGCGAGAUUUGAUCCUCCGAUGAGGGAAAGUGAAAUGGUAGAUUACUUCUUGCAGACCUUGGAACCAACGUACUUUGGUCACUUGGUAACAUCAGUUAGAAAGUCGUUCAAUGAAGUGGUAAAGAUGGGGGCAAUGAUAGAGGAAGGACUAAAAUCAAACAAGAUCCUGAGCUAUUCUGCACUUAAAGCCACCACCCAGGCCAUCCAAAGCGGCACUGAUGGUGUGCUUGGAAAGAAAAAGAAAGAAGAAAUUGCAACAGUGGAAGCGAGUACUUGGUCCCGGUCCAGAAACCCUCCACCCUACUAUAACAAACCCAGAACCCACCACCCAGAUUACCCAUAUACCUUAUACGGCCAUCCAUAACUCUACUAUCCACCACCAGAGCCACACUUUUUGGUCCACCACGCCUAAUCAUACACCCAGCCUCUAGAUCACCCGCAAUGGCGUGCACCAGUUCCCCCAAAGCGCAUAUCCAGCUCCACAAAACACAUAUCAACACCCAAGGCUACAAACUAGGAUCCGGCUUCCUCCGGAACCAAGCUUUCAGAAAUGAGAGGGUCCAGAACAAAAAAACAUUUACUCCGCUGGGAGAAUCCUGUACCACUCUUUUCACAAACUGAGGCAGUUAGGCUUGCAGCCCCUGGUUGAACUCAAAACGCCAAAUCCUCUUCUUAGAAAUCUGGACCACUCUGUGAGCUGUGAAUACUGUUCCGGAGCCCCCACACAUGAUAUACAAAAAUGUUGGAGGUUGAAAACUUCUGAGCAGGAGCUUAUUGACACAAACAGGAUCGAGGUUCAAGCCCCAGAGGCACCAAACACUGACUAGAAUCCGCUGCCAGCUCACCAUGAGGCUCAUGUGAUCAAAUUGAUGCAUAAAGGAGGAAAAUAUAAGAAACCUUCUGAUGGUAAUCCGUUCUAGCAAAACAAAUUUGAACGAAAAGUCAACCAGUGAGAAAAUUGUGGUCUAGUUGAAAGGGGUGGAUAAUAAGCCGCUGUCGCCAAAGGUUCUUGGGUCAUUGAAUGGUGUGGAUGGAAACGCGGGAAAUGGGUUCAAAAGGUUAUUCAUUGAGGUAAACAUGGUUGAAGCAAAGGAAGGGUAAGCAAGGCAAAUGCGCAGUUCGCCUAACCACGGGCAAAAGUCAAUGAUUGGAAGUUUUGGUAGUAGGUUUUGUUUUUCUUUAAACUGUCUGGACUAUUCCAGGGUUUGUAGUCUAGAUACUAUGUUCCGUCCCCUUUGGAUGAGUUGAAACCCUGUUAUCUUUACCUUCAAUGAAAUGCAAUUGUCUUUCAUUCUUCUUAACUUUUUUUCAGUUUGUUUUUUUUCCUAUCUGUACAAUUCUUUUUAUGCUGAUAUCAAUAACAUUACAUGCUGAGGAAUCUUUGGCCCAGUCGUGAAAAAUGACCUUAUUCGAAUAAUAAUACAAGAAAUCGAGUGUGAUAAGGAGUUGGAACAUGACGACGAUUUCACCCGCCUUGCACUAUUGGGUUUGAUUAAUGAAAAGAGAUUAGUAUCAGUGCGUCAUGGCCAAUUGUACCAACAAAAAUGGCAAAAGCGUACAACAAGAAAAUGCGUACGAGGAAAUUCAAAAUGGGAUAGCUAUUGUUGAGACGUAUCUUGCCUCAUCAGGCUGAAGCAAAAGGAAAAUCUGCCCAAAAAUGGCAGGGGCCAUUUAUGGUAACCAAAGUGUUGUUUAGUGGUAAAUUAUAUCUAACAGUUGUGGAAGGUAAAUGUGUAGAAAUGGCCAUCAAUUCAGAUAUGGUCAAGAGGUACUCUGUAUAAUUUCUUUAUUCUUGAUCGUACUGGUUUUGUAUUUGGCAUAUUUUGAAGAUUAAAAUGAUGAAGACGUUUUGUUCUGCUAUCUAAACACUUUAUCCUUUGUCACCUAUUUUGGGUCGUACUUAUUUUCUUUCGUACCCUUCUUUCGGAAUCAAUGGCACAAUUAAGAAACGCAAGUGCCGAAGAUGAGUACAUAAAAGGAUAGAAGGAAGAAAAGGAAGGAAAAGGAAGAAAAGAGAAAAGUAGGAAAAAUAAAAUAAAAUAGGAAAAGAAACAAAAGAAAAAGAAAAGAAAAGAAAAGAAAAGGAAAAUAAAAGAAAAGGAAAAGAAAAGAAUAGGAAAGAAAAGAAAAGUGAAAGGAAAAGAAAAGAAGAACACAAAAGAAAAGAAAAGAAAAAAAAUUCACAACAAAGUAAAUUCUAUUAAGUGAAAUACUUUUGACUUGAUCCCGAAAGGGUACUAAGAAGCCAUACUCUGAGGUUCAGUCACACAAAAAGAAAAAUUUGAAAGUCCCCAAGCAAGAAACUGGGGCAGAAGUUGUAAUAGUCUUGAGAAAUUGGAUUCCGAAAGUUGUAAGUUUAACCCAUUUUGAAAUCGUUUUGAGCCUUUUAUAUCCUUUCUUUCCUAACCCGUCCAAAAGCCUACAUUACGGUCCAAAGAAAGACCUUCUAAUCAGUUUGUGAGAAAUGCCAAGUUGAGCAGGUUGAAGUAAUUUAUGACAGGGGCAACACUCUGGUUCAAGCAAGAAGAACAAAGUAAAAAAAUGAGAGAGUCUUAUUGUUGAAAACCUUCACAGGCAUCAUAAGGCGACGGGAGCUGAGAGAAAAAUAAAUGAGAGAGUACUAUUGGCGAAAACGCUCAUGGGCACCUUGAGGUGAAAGUGAGUUUGAGAAGUGGUUAAUUGGUAAAAGGUAUGUGGGUGGAAAACUAUUUCAAGGCAUCGCAGGAAUGAACAAAGUCAAGGUUUGGGUAAAGUAAUCAAGUGACAGAAAUUUUUGGGCAACAAAGUACGGCAAUUGAAAGCUGGUUAAUUGGACAGAUUGGGCCGAUUAGUCUGAAAUGUAUGUCAUGACCAUUGGUGCCAGCUGUUCCGGUAAGAUAAGUUCUCUUCAUUUUCCUUCUAACAGUCAUCUGGUUUUGGAUUCCUCUUAUCCUUAACUUAUAAAAUCAUUGCAUUUCACUGUCUUUUGNNNNNNNNNNNNNNNNNNNNNNNNNNNNNNNNNNNNNNNNNNNNNNNNNNNNNNNNNNNNNNNNNNNNNNNNNNNNNNNNNNNNNNNNNNNNNNNNNNNNNNNNNNNNNNNNNNNNNNNNNNNNNNNNNNNNNNNNNNNNNNNNNNNNNNNNNNNNNNNNNNNNNNNNNNNNNNNNNNNNNNNNNNNNNNNNNNNNNNNNNNNNNNNNNNNNNNNNNNNNNNNNNNNNNNNNNNNNNNNNNNNNNNNNNNNNNNNNNNNNNNNNNNNNNNNNNNNNNNNNNNNNNNNNNNNNNNNNNNNNNNNNNNNGGGGGGGGGGGGGUUAUCUAUCUAAGAUGUUCCAAUGUCAGUUUUGUUCAAUGCAAGUAGAAAGAAUUUCAAAGCUCACUACCAACUUCCGAACAUGGUAAAGUAUAAUGUGGUCAGAGCAUGUCAUAAUGUAAAUCGGAGUAUGGGAAGUCACCGGAAGUUUCAUCGGUGGAAUAAUUAGAAAAUAUUGUGGGAAAUGUAAAGGUUCAGACAAAGGGAUCAGAGGUAUGAAACUACAACAGGGGUACAAAACAUCCAGGUUUUCAGAGGUUGGGGAAUUUGAAAGUGGCUCAGAAAGUCGAGCGGUUCAGGGAUAGUUAAGGGAAGCCGGAGGAAACAAAGCAAUGCAGUAGAAGGAUUUUUCACCAAGAAUUCCAUCAACUAACCACCAUUUUAAACUCACAAAAUUUUCUUUGAUUGAAAUAGGGGCAAAAAAAAUUGGUUGUUAUGAAGGAAUUCUCCAUAAAGGGAAAACAAGCAGUAAUCAGGUUUGACCGCAAAAAGUGGUAUGAUUAAAAUACAAGAAUACUUGGGAAUAAUACGGGGAAUGGAAGUUUGCAUGUUUGGGGUAGAAUUAAAGUAGGAGUGGUCAGGACCUUCCUGAAUAAUAGGAUGUAUUUCAAAACCUUGUAAGUAGCAUAACGUAGUGGGAACAAUACCUCUAGAAAACGUAAAUCAGGUUCAUAAUUAGUAGGAAUUGCCAGGGCCUUCCUGGAUAAUAGGAUGUAGUUUAAAGUCCUUGUAGAUAACAUGAUGUAGUGAGGGUAAUACAUUAGAAGAUAUAUCCUAGGUUCGUAAUUUUUAGAAGUUGUCAGGACCCCCUGGAUAAUAGGACAGCUUUCAAAUUCUUUGUAAUAGUUGGUUAUGAUCUAGUAACACUCACCCAUGUGCCCAACUACCAAAUUGGGGCAGGUAAUUUUCCUUGUUUUCGUAUGUUUUUGUGAAGUCAGGAGCCCUCAUGGAUAACGGAGGAAUACAUUUUCAAGCUUUGAAAUAAGUAGCUCGCCUGAAAAAAUAGAGGAGCCCCGCCUGGAGAAUAGGAAAGUUCAGUUCAAAUUCAAAAGUUGGGAGCCCACCGCAUAAAUAGGGAAUACGUUCAAUUUCAAAUUCAUAGGUCGAGUGCACACCCGCAUAACAAAGGAAUACAUUCAAGUUCAAAUUCAGAGGUCGGGAGCCCACCCACAUAACAAGGGAAUACAUUCAAGUUCAAAUUCAGAGGUCGGGAGCCCACCAGCAUAACAAGGGAAUACAUUCAAGUUCAAAUUCAGAAGUCGGGAGCCCACCCGCAUAACAAGGGAAUACAUUCAAGUUCAAAUUCAGAGGUUGGGAUCCCACCCGCAUAAUAAGGGAAUACAUUCAAGUUCAAAUUCAGAAGUCGGGUGCCCACCCCCAUAACAAGGGAAUACAUUCAAGUUCAAAUUCAGAAGUCUGGAGCCCACCCAUAUAACAAGGGAAUACAUUCAAGUUCAAAUUCAGAGGUCGGGACACCACCCGCAUAACAAGGGAAUACAUUCAAGGUCAAAUUCAUAGGUCCUGAGCCCACCCGGAUAACAAGGGAAUACAUUCAAGUUCAAAUUCAGAAAUCGGGAGCCCACCCGCAUAACAAGAAAAUACAAUCAAGUUCAAAUUCAGAGGUCGGGAGCCUACCCUUAUAACAAGGAAAUACACUCAAGUUCAAAUUCAAAGGUCGGGAGCCCACCCGCAUAACAAGGGAAUACAUUCAUGUUCGAAUUCAGAAGUCGGGAGCCCACCCGCAUAACAAGGGAAUACAUUCAAGUCUAAAUUCAGAAGUCGGGAGCCCACCCGAACAACAAGAGAAUACAUUCAAAUCCAAAUUCAAAAGUCGGGAGCCCACCUGGACAACAAGGGAAUAUAUUCAAGUUUAAAUUCUGAAGUCGGGAGCCCACCUGGACAACAAGAGAAUAAAUUCAAGUUCAAAUUCAGAAAUCGGGAGCCCACCGGGACAAUAAGGGAAUACAUUCAAGUCCAAAUUUAGAAGUCGGGAGCCUACCUGCAUAACAAAGGAAUAUAUUUAAGUUUGAAGUCAGGAGCCCGCCUGGAGAAUAGAGGAAUACAUUCAAGUUGCUGAAGUUAGGAGCCCGCCUGGAUGACAGAGGAAUACAUUCCAGUCUUUAAAAUUUUACAAAGCCUGCCUGGAUAACAGAGGAAUACAUUCCAGUUCAGGCUUAUUCAAUUUCAGGAAGGUGGAGAUAAGGAACAACAUCUCAUUUAGCAAGUUGAAGUAACAAUAAUGGAUUUCACCAAGGAAACACAAGAUAGACAACAAGGAAGUAUAAGAUGCAAGUUUGAAAAUUUUAGAUAUGACUUUUGUAAUUCAUAGUUCAUAGCUUAGGCUAGCUUCUUUUAUUGACAUGGUCUAAUAAAGAAGGUCAACAAGCAGUAGCAGCAACAAUCAUAGUGAAAUCAGAGCUCCUGGUAGUCCCAGCUAUCAGACAUUCCCGAACUACACUGACCUGAUUCCUGUUUAGCCCAGGAUAUGUAGGCAACCUCUGAAUCAAGGUGCGGUCGAACUUUUCAAAAAAUGCUUCACCCAGAAUUUUCAAAAGGGCAAACAUUUCUCAUAUUUGCUCACUUAUCUUUGCCCGAAAACUUUUCUUGUUUCCGAGCAAAGAGGGGUAAUCGUGAGCACGUGGUUUUUGCCCUAUAUAUAGAUAAUUCCCAAAAAUUCAAACAAAAAGAUUUUCCUUAUUUUUACAAUUUUGUGAAUUUUGUGUUAAUUGUUUGCAUUUUUAUUGGUGCAUGUUAAUUCAUAUGAAAAUAUAAAAAUAUGCAUUUGCAUGUAGGAUGUAGUUUCAGAUUUUUAGGAUUAACUGGAGAUUCAUUUGUUUUAAAACAAAGCAUGAAAAAUCACAAAAAUAGUUCACAUUAGCAUUUUUAUCGUUUUAAUUGUGAAAUUAUCAUAAAAUAAUCAUUAAAGUAUUUUUAGGCAUUAAUUAAUUUAGUUUAAUUGUUAUUUUAAUUUUUUGGCAGCUUUUAUAGAAUCAGAAAGUGACAAUACAAAAAUAAGGUGGAAGACAAAAGGAAUUAAUGGGGAAAAAUAAAGAAAAGAAGGGAAAAGAGAAAUUGAGGGGAGGGCUGCCCAAUUGGGCCGUCUGAACCGUAAAAUUCCAGCCCAAAUGCAAAGACCCACCACAGCCCAAGGCAACGUCCUUGCCCGGUCCAAUUCGUUGAUUUCAAAACGAUAACAUUUAGGAGAGCUUAAUCUCAGCCCUUCAUCUCUUAAUCCAACAGUUGAUAUUAUCCUAAGAUGUUCCAUAUUAAUAUGUCCGAACCAGUCCCCACCCGUAUCUCUCAUCUCUCCAAACAGCUUCAUCUUCUGCAUAACCCUAGCGACGCCGCCUCCAUAUCCUCAACUCCUCCGGUGGCGGCGCCGAUGUCCAAUCGGCUCUAGACGAUCAGCCUAGCACCACCUUACCUUCUACAUCCUCAAUCCAUAGCCAAAACCGUUCGAACACAUCUGCAACCCUUCGAAUCUUCGUGGAAGUCCAUGAGCCCUAGCUGUCGACGUUGAAUUCCAGUGGCGCCGCCGCCUUUUCAUCUCACUCGAAUGGACUCCAGGUGACAGUAUUACUUCCUUCGUGGUAAAUUCCGUGCCAGAACUUCAUGAAUCUGAGUACAACAUUGGGAAUCCUUUGGAUUAAGAGUUCAUUCGUGCCGGUCGUUUGAAAACUUUUCAAGGUCGAGUGCUUUCCGUAGUAAGUGUUCUGUAGCUACACAAUACUAUUAGUUAAACUCCUCUUUCACUUCUUUUUCAAUAAGUGAGUUCUCUUUGCAUUUUAAGUUUUGUUCAGUUCGAUUCAUGUGUAGUUUAAUUAGUAGUCUAAAUUUCAAUAGAGUUGUUUCUUGUUAUUGUUAGUUGAUUCUGAAGCAAAGUUUUUUCUUCUUAAUUAGAGUUUCAAUUGUUAGUUAAUCGUUAAUGUGUUAGCUUAGUUUUGAUUAGUUCAAUUUGAUUAGUUUGGUCGAAUGUGCUCUUUAAAUCGUACUUUUGCAUUGAUCUUAUUUCAAGCUCAUUUUAGAAAUGGUUUGAUUCUUGUCUAUUUGAAUUAAUGAUUCUGAUAGACUAAGUUUAGUGUAAUUGGUUUUCAGUUUUUAUUUGCAAUUUGAUUAGGAUUCUUCAGGGUUUUAAUAAUUAAUGUCGCAUAUUAAGUCAUUAGUUUAGUAGUAAUUUACUAGUUAGCAUUUGUUUUGUGAAUUCAACAUUUGAUCAAGUAGUUAGUAGGAUUAUGUUAGCCAAUCUGAUUACAACUGGGUAAAUUAGACCUUCAAUUAGUCAGGGGAAUAUUCAAGGGUACUUUGGGCACUUGAAAUGGUUAGUUUGUUAGCUAGGUAAUUCAAAAGGAAUCAAAAGGGCAUUUUAGGCAUUCAUGAAUUAGGUAUCAAUACUAGAAUUGAUUGGAACCUUCUAGAGAGGGGUGUACUUAGAAUAUGAAGUAAGUUUGAAGUACUUUAUUGGAGAACAAGUUAGAAAUAUAGGGGGUAAAGCUGAAAAAGGGAGGGAAUAAUAUGAAAAGUGCAAAAUUGAGGGCUGCCCUCCCUUAGGCCUAAAAAAAUGCAUCAAAAUGCCUUGAAGAGCAAAUUUUGCAGCCUAAAAAUUCCCCCAAAAAAUACUUCCCAAGCUUCCAGAUCUGAAAUUAAAUAUUUUAGAUCUGAAAUUCCGUUAGAUCUUAGUCUCUUCAAAUACAAAUUCCAAAAAAAACAUCAGAAAAGAGCUCAAGAACAACAUUACUGUUUGAUUUACUAUUUCAAUUUUCUACUUGGGUAUCCUUGAUUUCUGAUCAAAACUUAUGCUCUAAUAAGUAUCCUGAGGUGUUUUAAUGUUCUGUCCAAUGAAACUGGGUUUGUUCAGUUGGAUUUUAGCUAAACUUAUGUUCCACUGAGAUUUCAGAAUCGUCUAAGCUCAAUUUCAAGAGUUUUGAGUGCAUUUCGAAGUGUGCUGACUUGAUUCAGUGGAGUCUGCUUGAUUAGUGAAUGUUUAUGGUUUUCAAAAUCCUCUCCUAGACCGCUCUGUGAUAUUAUAUUGCUGAAUCUUGGGGUUGCUGUUGAUGUGCGAAAUAGCUGACCGUUCUUCUUCUACUACUUCACAUCUCCAGGUACACGCUUGAGAUUGGUCCGAUGUAGUUGUUAAAUUGAAAGGCUGAAUUGAACUGUUUCCCCUGGAAUAUAUGUGUUCAAGCUAUUUUAGUGGAAUAAUAGUAGAUGAUUUGCAUUUGUUUAGGUUCAUUUUGAUUUGUAUUUACAUUAUAUAAAA
RNAcentral lists this long non-coding RNA (16152 nucleotides) under Nicotiana benthamiana. RNAcentral describes it as "long non-coding RNA (NBEN_LNC022022)". The record is from RNAcentral. Lineage: Eukaryota; Viridiplantae; Streptophyta; Magnoliopsida; Solanales; Solanaceae.